AUUGAACGCUGGCGGAAUGCUUUACACAUGCAAGUCGAACGGUAGAGGGGGCAACCCCUCGAGAGUGGCGAACGGGUGAGUAAAGCAUCGGAACGUACCGUGUAGUGGGGGAUAACGUAGCGAAAGUUACGCUAAUACCGCAUACGCACUGAGGUGGAAAGCAGGGGAUCGCAAGACCUUGCGCUAUACGAGCGGCCGAUAUCAGAUUAGCUAGUUGGUGGGGUAAAGGCCUACCAAGGCGACGAUCUGUAGCUGGUCUGAGAGGACGACCAGCCACACUGGAACUGAGACACGGUCCAGACUCCUACGGGAGGCAGCAGUGGGGAAUUUUGGACAAUGGGCGCAAGCCUGAUCCAGCAAUGCCGCGUGCAGGAAGAAGGCCUUCGGGUUGUAAC
This 395-nucleotide ribosomal RNA is filed under the name uncultured bacterium. RNAcentral's name for it is "bacterial SSU rRNA". It matches the Rfam family "Bacterial small subunit ribosomal RNA", at positions 30 to 429 of the family's 1533-position model. The record is from RNAcentral.